GUUUCCGUAGGUGAACCUGCGGAAGGAUCAUUAA
Molecule: ribosomal RNA, 34 nt
Filed under: Rhizopogon roseolus
Lineage: Eukaryota; Fungi; Basidiomycota; Agaricomycetes; Boletales; Rhizopogonaceae
Also listed under: 3 other names
Description: partial 18S ribosomal RNA
Source: RNAcentral